Molecule: ribosomal RNA, 104 nt
Filed under: Escherichia coli
Lineage: Bacteria; Pseudomonadati; Pseudomonadota; Gammaproteobacteria; Enterobacterales; Enterobacteriaceae
Source: RNAcentral
CGUAGCGCGGUGGUCCCACCUGACCCCAUGCCGAACUCAGAAGUGAAACGCCGUAGCGCCGAUGGUAGUGUGGGGUCUCCCCAUGCGAGAGUAGGGAACUGCCA